GCUCAGGCCCCGCCGGGAGGGCGCGGGCGGGCGCGAGGCGGAAGAACCGCGGUGUUCACGGAGCACUUUCCAGGGUGCAGGUUGUGUUGGGCCUGGGGACGGGGAGAGGAUCAGGGCGUCCUUAGGAAUCCUUACGGAGCGCAGAAGUGGGAGAGCGAAUGACCGCGAAUCGGAAGGGGCCGAAAUAGAGACGCCGAGCAGUGCAACGGGAGCCUAAGUCACGGAGCUUCCAUGGUGCGCUUUUGCAUUUAAUGGCCGUGCAGGAAAGUCUAAUUCUGAACCACCUAUCGGGAGGCGAGGAUUCAUGUGGAAGUGUUUCAUAAGCCUGGAAGCCCUGGGCUCACGUAAAGUGCUAUGGGAAAGCAAUUUAUGGAAAUAAGGAGGUUUGGUAAAGGGCUGUUUGGCAGAGUCCUGAGCCUGGAAACAUUUGGUCCAUGUGAAUACCACAGCAGAGGACGUUCUUAAUCAGACAGGAUGGCCUGCUUUAUGGAUAGCAGCUGGUUCUGGCUGUCUAGGAGUCAAGGAAGAGAUGUUCCUCUGUACUGGAUAUGGCCAAACAUGGGAUGGUGAUUAACCUUGAUUAUAAGGGAAAGAGAGCUAUCUUCCAUUUACUUGUUACCACAUUGUAUGACGAUUGGAUAUUAUUCAAUAAUUAAUAUUUAUUAUCACUUAGCAAUACCAGGCAUGAUUUUAUGUGCUUUACUUUGUGUAUUACUUAAUUCUUUUUUUUGUAUUACUUAAUUCUCAUAACAACCUGAAAAAAGUGUCUACCUGUGUUCCUUAUAAACACAGAUAUGGAGUACAGAACAUUCAUACCUUGUACAAUUGAUAGUACCUAUCAACUGAGCACUAUGUUUUCUUGACCUUACUUGCGGAAUUCUGACUGAAUUAGACUGCAGUGGCUGCACAAGGAUACUUAGCAAGAACAGUUUGAUAAUUAAAAAGGGAGAGAGAAUUUUAAUGUUCAUUAGUAGGGGACUGGUUAAGUUAUGGUGUAGCCAUAUUGUGGAAUAUUAUCCUGCUGUUCAGAUUGAAGUAGAUCCACUUGUACAGAUGUGGAUGGAUGUCCAUGACACAUUGCUUGGUGAAUAAAUUGUAGAACAAUGUGUGUAUUUUAAAUAAAUCUUUGUAUGUGUAUAUGUAUGUACUUGUGUGUAUAGAAGAAGUUUGGAGGAACACCCCAGAAUUCUAAUAUGAAUUAUUCUGGAGAAUGGGACUUGGAGGCGGGAGGGAAGAUAUUCUUCUGUGCUUUUUAUAUUUUGUAUUUUUCCCCCAAUCAAGUUUGUAUCCUUUUUUUUGUAAUUAGAAAUUUAAAUAAACUUUGAGAAAGUC
Canis lupus familiaris (dog) is the source of this 1332-nucleotide long non-coding RNA. RefSeq lists it as uncharacterized. Lineage: Eukaryota; Metazoa; Chordata; Mammalia; Carnivora; Canidae. The record is from RefSeq and is a predicted model, not a curated record. The transcript is spliced from 3 exons.